CAGUAGCCGCGGGAAUACGGAGGGUGCAAGCGUUAAUCGGAAUUACUGGGCGUAAAGCGUGCGUAGGCGGCUAAUUGAGUCGGAUGUGAAAUCCCCGAGCUUAACUUGGGAAUUGCAUUCGAUACUGGUUAGCUAGAGUGUGGGAGAGGAUGGUAGAAUUCCAGGUGUAGCGGUGAAAUGCGUAGAGAUCUGGUGGAAUACCGAUGGCGAAGGCAGCCAUCUGGCCUAACACUGACGCUGAGGUACGAAAGCAUGGGGAGCAAACAGGAUUAGAUACCCGAGUAGUCCCUGUCUCUUAUAA
RNAcentral lists this ribosomal RNA (301 nucleotides) under uncultured bacterium. RNAcentral's name for it is "partial 16S ribosomal RNA". It matches the Rfam family "Bacterial small subunit ribosomal RNA", at positions 509 to 809 of the family's 1533-position model. The record is from RNAcentral.